CCGUGACUAGAAAUAACGAAGACGGCACAGCCGGCCUGCUCCAGCAUCUUAUUGUCCCUGAGGUCAGCCAGUUGCUGCCGCGUCUGUUUGGCCGUGAGGGAGAAGUGGGCGCGGCCACUGUACCCCAUCUUGCUGAAUAUGUUGGCCAGGUUGUGGGCGUCGGUUUCUGAACCCUCGAGGUUUAGGUCCGGACGGCCCUUGAAGGAUCCGUAGCCGAGGAGACAGACGUAGCCCCUGGGGGCGGCGUCCAUCUUGUACACGUCCUUCCCGCUGAUCUCGGCUGGAGACACGUCAACACACAGUUUUAUUUUC
This is a long non-coding RNA of Eriocheir sinensis (Chinese mitten crab), 312 nucleotides long. RefSeq lists it as uncharacterized. The record is from RefSeq and is a predicted model, not a curated record. The transcript has 2 exons. Lineage: Eukaryota; Metazoa; Arthropoda; Malacostraca; Decapoda; Varunidae.